CUCCAAGCAAGCAAAGUGGACGCGCAUGGGGCGGCCACUAGCGAAGGGGGUCGCGCCCGAUCUCACGGCGCGGCGGCGCCCGAUCUCACGACACGGCGGCGCCCGCUCCCCCUCGACUCUCGGGCUGCAUCAGUCUUCUCCAUGAGGGCGAAGUGGCUGCACGCGGAGUAACUAGGCCGCGGGCGAUCCCCCGACGCGGUGGCUCCCGCAUCCCUCGCCUCUCUGGUCACACCGGGCUCUUUUCUAAGCACGACGUGAGUGCACGCAGGGCGGCCGCCGACGAAGGAGAUCGCGCGGCGAUGCGGAGCCCUCUGCUCCAUGCCGGUUUGAGGCCCACACCGUUCACCUCCAUCGCCUCCACGAGUCACCUCCUCCCCGCUGCCAGGAAUCCCGUCGCCGGCCAGGUUACUGCACCCAUUCCUCCCACCCUGCUUGCUGCUUAUGUGUGAUGUGUGGGUGUUCUUGACAGCUUGUCAUCGUGUGCUUGCCGGCCUGCUGGUGCUGCUGCUUUGCUGUGUAUGAUUAUUGAGUCUGACUGUUAGACUAAGAUCCAUCCUCUUGAGGGAAGGGAUUAUGAUGCUGCUGAACUGGAGGUCCUUUACCGCGAAUCCAGAAGUUUGGUGCUGGGCGUGAUGUUAGUGUCUCGGCAUUUCAAGCCGCUUACUUUGCUUCAAUUUUGCGAGAAAGUUAUGGUGGACGAGGACAAGCUUCCUGGACAGAAGAUCUGUGUAUUCUUCUCGAUGGUGCAAAGUUGAGAUAUCUCAAACUUGAGUGGCUAUACGAACUCAAGUUCUAUUUCCUCCGAUGACUCAAGUUCACAUGUGGAUGGAUGUUAACACUAUUUUCUUAGCGACCAUGCUACUUACAACAACUAUAUGCAAAGUAUCUUAUGUUACUACAUACGGCAAAACAAAGUGAUGGUGGUCUACAAGAUGAUCUUGAUGAAUUCAUCUCCAGGGUAAAAGGGCCAACCAUCGUGCAUGCCAUUUGGUUGGAAAUAACAUUGCCUUAAAAAUGUAUGAGUGCAUUCUUGGCAUCUGACUUUGCCAAAUCCAACAUUUAUGCUGCCUUGCUGGGCGUAUCUUUGUAAAUUCUCUUGGGGACAGAAAGUAUAACCUGCAAUUUGUGACACUACCAUCAAAGUACAUGAGGUUCACACAUACAUAAUCAUCUAUUUUAUGUAAUUUGUGAUCAGCCACCAUGUAAUGAAAAAAAAUUACAUUCAACAACG
This is a long non-coding RNA of Hordeum vulgare subsp. vulgare (domesticated barley), 1231 nucleotides long. RefSeq lists it as uncharacterized. The transcript is spliced from 4 exons. Lineage: Eukaryota; Viridiplantae; Streptophyta; Magnoliopsida; Poales; Poaceae. The record is from RefSeq and is a predicted model, not a curated record.